UAGAAGUUUUUGACCUGGCUCAGGAUGAACGCUGGCGGCGUGCCUAAUACAUGCAAGUCGAGCGAACGGAUAAGGAGCUUGCUCCUUUGAAGUUAGCGGCGGACGGGUGAGUAACACGUGGGUAACCUACCUAUAAGACUGGAAUAACUUCGGGAAACCGGAGCUAAUGCCGGAUAACAUUUGGAACCGCAUGGUUUUAAAGUAAAAGAUGGUUUUGCUAUCACUUAUAGAUGGACCCGCGCCGUAUUAGCUAGUUGGUAAGGUAACGGCUUACCAAGGCAACGAUACGUAGCCGACCUGAGAGGGUGAUCGGCCACACUGGAACUGAGACACGGUCCAGACUCCUACGGGAGGCAGCAGUAGGGAAUCUUCCGCAAUGGACGAAAGUCUGACGGAGCAACGCCGCGUGAGUGAUGAAGGUUUUCGGAUCGUAAAACUUCUGUUAUUAGGGAAGAACAAAUGUGUAAGUAACUGUGCUACUCUUGUACGGUACCUAUCAAAAGCCG
This 506-nucleotide ribosomal RNA is filed under the name Staphylococcus equorum. RNAcentral describes it as "bacterial SSU rRNA". It matches the Rfam family "Bacterial small subunit ribosomal RNA", at positions 1 to 493 of the family's 1533-position model. The record is from RNAcentral. Lineage: Bacteria; Bacillati; Bacillota; Bacilli; Caryophanales; Staphylococcaceae.